Molecule: ribosomal RNA, 466 nt
Filed under: uncultured bacterium
Lineage: Bacteria
Description: bacterial SSU rRNA
Rfam family: Bacterial small subunit ribosomal RNA
Source: RNAcentral
GAUGAACGCUGGCGGCGUGCCUAACACAUGCAAGUCGAGCGAUUCUCUUCGGAGAAGAGCGGCGGACGGGUGAGUAACGCGUGGGUAACCUGCCCUGUACACACGGAUAACAUACCGAAAGGUAUGCUAAUACGAGAUAAUAUGCUUUUAUCGCAUGGUAGAAGUAUCAAAGCUCCGGCGGUACAGGAUGGACCCGCGUCUGAUUAGCUAGUUGGUAAGGUAACGGCUUACCAAGGCGACGAUCAGUAGCCGACCUGAGAGGGUGAUCGGCCACAUUGGAACUGAGACACGGUCCAAACUCCUACGGGAGGCAGCAGUGGGGAAUAUUGCACAAUGGGCGAAAGCCUGAUGCAGCAACGCCGCGUGAGCGAUGAAGGCCUUCGGUCGUAAAGCUCUGUCCUCAAGGAGAUAAUGACGGUACUUGAGGAGGAAGCCCGGCGUAACUACGUGCCAGCAGCCGCGGUAA